RNAcentral lists this transfer RNA (70 nucleotides) under Cricetulus griseus (Chinese hamster). It matches the Rfam family "tRNA". From Rfam's summary of the family: Transfer RNA (tRNA) molecules are approximately 80 nucleotides in length. The record is from Rfam by way of RNAcentral. Lineage: Eukaryota; Metazoa; Chordata; Mammalia; Rodentia; Cricetidae.
GAGAGAUGGCUCAGUGGUUAAGAGCACUAGCUGCUCAUCCAGAGGACCUGGGUUCAAGUCCCAGCACUCA